Molecule: ribosomal RNA, 868 nt
Filed under: Cyprididae sp. CH-2004
Lineage: Eukaryota; Metazoa; Arthropoda; Ostracoda; Podocopida; Cyprididae
Description: eukaryotic LSU rRNA
Rfam family: Eukaryotic large subunit ribosomal RNA
Source: RNAcentral
UAUGUGCAAACUCAAAUGCGAAAUGAAAGUGAAAUGCUUGCCUCGUUGUGAGCUGUUGGAUGAUCCCUGGUUUAGCCCUUUAUUGGGAAGGCCUGGGCGCAAUCCAUGGGCAUCGUGAUUGCUUUAUUGCCAAUCUGGUGCACCACGAGCGCACAAGUUGGUACCCGAAAGAUGGUGAACUAUGCCUGGCAAGGGUGAAGCCAGGGGAAACUCUGGUGGAGGCCCGUUUGGAUUCUGACGUGCAAAUCGAUCUUCAAAGCUGGGUAUAGGGGCGAAAGACUAAUCGAACUAUCUAGUAGCUGGUUCCUCCUGAAGUUUCCCUCAGGAUAGCUGGUGAUCGUACAUGGUAUGACAUGUUUCAUCCGGUAAAGCGAAUGAUUAGAGUCUUUGGGGGCGAAAUGACCUCAAGCUAUUCUCAAACUUUAAAUGGGUGAGAAGCCGGGCUUACUUGAAUGAAGCCAUAACGGCAUGUUGAAAUGAAUGAUUACCUAGUGGGCCAUUUUUGGUAAGCAGAACUGGCGCUGUGGGAUGAACCAAACGUCGAGUUAUGGCGCCUGAAUGAACGCAAAUCUGAUCCCAUGAAGGGUGUUGGUUGCUCUAGACAGCAGGACAGUGGCCAUGGAAGCUGGAAUCUGCUAAGGAGUGCGUAACAGCUCACCUGCCGAAGCAACCAGCCCUGAAAAUGGAUGGCGCUUUAGCGUUCUGCCUAUACUCGACCGCUAGAAUGGAGCUGGCACUUCGGUGCAGGGCCCGUAUAUUCUAGUGAGUAAGGAGGUGUGAUGGUAAGCGUUGAAGGGUCUGGGUGUAAACCUGCCUGGAGCUGCCAUCGGCACAGAUCUUGGUGGUAGUAGCAAAGACUCACGUGAUA